CCCUUAGAUGUUCUGGGCUGCACGCGUGUUACAAUCGGGAGUACAAAAAGAUUGCAAAUCCUAGUGGAUGAGUGGUUCUUCGAAAUUUUCUGAAGACUGGGAUAGUUGAUUGAAAUUAUUCAACUCGAACGAGGAAUUCCUUGUAAUUGUAAUUCAUUAUAUUGUAAUGAAUACGUCCCUGCCCUUUGUACACACCGCCCGUCGCUCCUACCGAUUGAACGAUCCGGUGAAUUAUUUGGAGUAGCUCUGGAAGUUGCAGAACUUCCUAUGUCACGAAAUUUUGUAAACCUUAUCGUUUAGAGGAAGGAAAAGUCGUAACA
This 320-nucleotide ribosomal RNA is filed under the name uncultured eukaryote. RNAcentral describes it as "partial 18S ribosomal RNA". It matches the Rfam family "Eukaryotic small subunit ribosomal RNA", at positions 1470 to 1796 of the family's 1831-position model. The record is from RNAcentral.